AAUUUCUUAGGCAUAUGAUGUAGCGAAUUCCCAUGAAGAUUUAAAUUUAAUUUAACUUAAUUUCAACCAAUGGGAUAGCAACCACCACCGGAAGAUCGCGGAGAAAUCGGUAAACUCAACGGAGUUAAUUCAGAAAAAUACCAAAAAAAAUUGUUUGUAGGAUAUACAAUUGUUACUCUCUUUAUUUCUAAUCAUUCACUAUAUACUCCCGCACACACGUGUAUCUUAAGAGCCCCUCCUAAGAGGGGGGCUUAUAACAGAACACUUCUCCAGACUUGUAACCCUGGUAACGGGACACAAACCGACUCUUAAACCUGGGUGGAACCCUCAACUAAGGGACACUUACGACCUUGAAGUCAGAAUAUUCGCGGAGAGCUACGAACGUAUCCACAGGUCCAACCUGGUCGGAAUGGGCAUUAUGCCGCUGCAGUACCUCGAGGGCGACCGUGGAGACGCACGGACUCACCGGCAAGGAGCAGUUCUCGAUAACCCUGCCAGACAAGUUGAAACCUACCCAGAUAUACAGAGUUGAGGUGAACGAUGGACGGACCUUCAGAGAUCUCGUCCGAUUCGACACCAAAGUGGAACUGGAAUACUUCAGGAACGGUGGCAUUCUUAACUACAUGAUUCGUAACAUGCUGUAAAUAAUUGCCAUGGAAACCUACGGUUGCUAAGGAACUGUUUAAGGAAAAUUUUGCUAUGGAAACAAACUGUUGCUAUGGAAAUGAAAUGUAAGGCUAUGAUAUUGGCAUCUGCUAGGCGGUGUUGGCUGUCACUAUGGUACGAUGGUUUGAUGGACGUCACAGGCGCCUGCCAUUGUUACGUCGAUAUUUUUGAGGCGAUAAGGCCUCCUUGUAAUGUCCUACUGACAGCCAACACCACGUAGCUGUAGUCAUAGGUUUGCUGGUGGCCAAUAGAUUUCUGCAGUACUGUGAAAAUGGGAGUAUAUGGGCACUGAUAUCAACAAACUGUUUGUGCACUUGGGGCGCCCUCUAAACUCGGGAGGAGUUGCCACUGUUUCGUCUUUGUGUAUGUGAGCAAGGCACUUGACCCUACUAACCUCUUAACGCAAGAGUGAAUGGGUUAGUUGGCAGAAAUUAUAAUGUAAUACUCCCAGAGUGUAGAGCUUGAACCACGAAUGCACAGGCCAAUAGCUAGGGGUAAUAAUGUAAAGUUCGAACAACUGAAACAAGUUGGAUUGAGCACUAUAGAAGUCUCAUGAUUAUUAUUACCAGUAUCAUUAUUAUUAUUAUUAACUGAAGGAGAUGGUGUAGAGUUACGUUAAUACCAGCAUUAGUUGGCAUAAAGUCCAAUGGACACGAGGGUUGGCUAUAGGUACCACCAUUUUGGCUAGAACUUGAAUCUAAAAGCAUGAUGUGAUACUGAGAUUGUCAAAAUAAAUUAAAGAACAUCAGAAUUAGCAUUUGUCCC
Molecule: long non-coding RNA, 1431 nt
Organism: Lineus longissimus
Lineage: Eukaryota; Metazoa; Nemertea; Pilidiophora; Heteronemertea; Lineidae
Exons: 3
Source: RefSeq, a predicted model, not a curated record